This is a long non-coding RNA of Sphaeramia orbicularis (orbiculate cardinalfish), 118 nucleotides long. RefSeq lists it as uncharacterized. The transcript has 3 exons. The record is from RefSeq and is a predicted model, not a curated record. Lineage: Eukaryota; Metazoa; Chordata; Actinopteri; Kurtiformes; Apogonidae.
GUUUACAUUCUGUUCCCGUGGAGCUUUUUCUUCCAUAUUUAAGUUUUGUUCCAUAAACGGCGCAUUCCGUUUGGUCCAAACGGGUCUGCCGUGUCCACCGGGAACAGAAUGUAAACCU